This 253-nucleotide ribosomal RNA is filed under the name uncultured bacterium. Its description in RNAcentral is "partial 16S ribosomal RNA". It matches the Rfam family "Bacterial small subunit ribosomal RNA", at positions 524 to 776 of the family's 1533-position model. The record is from RNAcentral.
UACGUAGGUGGCAAGCGUUGUCCGGAAUUAUUGGGCGUAAAGCGCGCGCAGGUGGUUUCUUAAGUCUGAUGUGAAAGCCCACGGCUCAACCGUGGAGGGUCAUUGGAAACUGGGGAACUUGAGUGCAGAAGAGAAAAGCGGAAUUCCACGUGUAGCGGUGAAAUGCGUAGAGAUGUGGAGGAACACCAGUGGCGAAGGCGGCUUUUUGGUCUGUAACUGACGCUGAGGCGCGAAAGCGUGGGGAGCAAACAGG